GAGGGCCUGCUGUGUUUCACGCGCAGGAGAGAUGACACUGUCGUUAUAUAUCCUCUUCAUUCAUUUCAGUUUAAGAUGAUAAAGAGUGUAUGUAUAAGAGCAGUGUCAUCUCUCUGCGCACGAAACAGAGAGAUUCUC
This 138-nucleotide microRNA precursor is filed under the name Picea abies (Norway spruce). Its description in RNAcentral is "miR3627b stem-loop (pab-MIR3627b)". Lineage: Eukaryota; Viridiplantae; Streptophyta; Pinopsida; Pinales; Pinaceae. The record is from miRBase by way of RNAcentral.